This 465-nucleotide ribosomal RNA is filed under the name uncultured Klebsiella sp. RNAcentral describes it as "bacterial SSU rRNA". It matches the Rfam family "Bacterial small subunit ribosomal RNA", at positions 338 to 795 of the family's 1533-position model. Lineage: Bacteria; Pseudomonadati; Pseudomonadota; Gammaproteobacteria; Enterobacterales; Enterobacteriaceae. The record is from RNAcentral.
CCUACGGGCGGCAGCAGUGGGGAAUAUUGCACAAUGGGCGCAAGCCUGAUGCAGCCAUGCCGCGUGUGUGAAGAAGGCCUUCGGGUUGUAAAGCACUUUCAGCGGGGAGGAAGGCGUUAAGGUUAAUAACCUUGGCGAUUGACGUUACCCGCAGAAGAAGCACCGGCUAACUCCGUGCCAGCAGCCGCGGUAAUACGGAGGGUGCAAGCGUUAAUCGGAAUUACUGGGCGUAAAGCGCACGCAGGCGGUCUGUCAAGUCGGAUGUGAAAUCCCCGGGCUCAACCUGGGAACUGCAUUCGAAACUGGCAGGCUAGAGUCUUGUAGAGGGGGGUAGAAUUCCAGGUGUGGCGGUGAAAUGCGUAGAGAUCUGGAGGAAUACCGGUGGCGAAGGCGGCCCCCUGGACAAAGACUGACGCUCAGGUGCGAAAGCGUGGGGAGCAAACAGGAUUAGAUACCCGAGUAGUC